Molecule: transfer RNA, 74 nt
Filed under: Kikihia sp. 'murihikua'
Lineage: Eukaryota; Metazoa; Arthropoda; Insecta; Hemiptera; Cicadidae
Description: tRNA-Ile
Source: RNAcentral
AAUAAGGUGCCUGAAUNAAAAAGGAUUAUUUUGAUAGAAUAAAUUAUGUAAUAAAAUUACUCUUAUUAUGUUUA